GCGGGUAUGGCGGAACAGCAGACGCACUGGCUUCAGGAGCCAGCGAGAGCAAUCUCAUGAGGGUGCAAAUCCUUCUACCCGCACAA
Molecule: transfer RNA, 86 nt
Filed under: Candidatus Staskawiczbacteria bacterium
Lineage: Bacteria; Candidatus Staskawicziibacteriota
Description: tRNA-Leu
Rfam family: tRNA
About the family: Transfer RNA (tRNA) molecules are approximately 80 nucleotides in length. Their secondary structure includes four short double-helical elements and three loops (D, anti-codon, and T loops).
Source: RNAcentral